GAUGAACGCUAGCUACAGGCUUAACACAUGCAAGUCGAGGGGAAACGACAUCGAAAGCUUGCUUUUGAUGGGCGUCGACCGGCGCACGGGUGAGUAACGCGUAUCCAACCUGCCCAUCACUUGGGAAUAACCUUGCGAAAGUAAGACUAAUACCCAAUGAUAUCCCACGAAGGCAUCGGAAUGGGAUUAAAGAUUUAUCGGUGAUGGAUGGGGAUGCGUCUGAUUAGCUUGUUGGCGGGGUAACGGCCCACCAAGGCAACGAUCAGUAGGGGUUCUGAGAGGAAGGUCCCCCACAUUGGAACUGAGACACGGUCCAAACUCCUACGGGAGGCAGCAGUGAGGAAGAUGGGUCAAUGGGCGAGAGCCUGAACCAGCCAAGUAGCGUGCAGGAAGACGGCCCUAUGGGCGGUAAACUGCUUUUAUAAGGGAAUAAAGUGGGUCACGUGUGACUUUUUGCAUGUACCUUAUGAAUAAGGACCGGCUAAUUCCGUG
RNAcentral lists this ribosomal RNA (492 nucleotides) under uncultured bacterium. RNAcentral's name for it is "partial 16S ribosomal RNA". It matches the Rfam family "Bacterial small subunit ribosomal RNA", at positions 28 to 507 of the family's 1533-position model. The record is from RNAcentral.